GUAUAAUACUAAACUACUACGCCAUGUUUGGUAUCAAUCGAAAGCUUAGCCUCUCGCCCGGCCAAAGGUUACAUGUUUAAAAUUAACCUAAGAAGGACAUGACCUCUAUUAGCAUACUAAAAUUUGAAGAAGACGUCUUUUGAUUGGUCAGUAGGUUUGGUUUCGUUUUGGCUCGAACCUGAUUGGUCCGCUUGUUUAAAAUUUGACAUUUUGUCAUCAACCGAGACCCACGAUGCAUCGCUUCCGGCGACGCCUAGCCUGAUAAACACGCAGCUAACUUUUGUUUGCUAAUGCGAUCACUGUACAUUCUUGAACUAUUUCGCAAGUUUAUUGUCAUUUGGAUAUCAAAACCAGACUUAGAUGGACCUACACGCACAGUACGCAGCUGACAGAAGAUGCCAAACAAAAAAGGAAUAGUAUUUAGUUGUUGGAGAAGACAACCGAAGUUUUUUGGAUACCUAAAAAUAUACUUCUGCUAGCAACAAGAGAUGAGAACACCUGACAAGGGCCAAAUCUGCAAUGGAAUAUCUGAUAGGCAGGACUUGGGCAAUACAAGUAAAAGUUCUGCAACUAGAGGCUUCAAAUUUGGCAUACUGAUUCAGUGUGGUCUUGUCUACAUAAUUACAUGUUGAAAUGUAUUAGGGCUGUAUAUUAAGAUUUUUAUGGCUGUUUGUGUGCAGGAAACCCCCAAAAAAUGGUAAAAUUUGGGGGGUACCCUCAUCUUUUUGUCAACUGUUGAUUUUCCUUUACUCACAGGCUCAUGAGCACAUGUAUUUAUAUUCAGUACAUUAUGUUCAAUGUAAUUACUUAAAUUUAUUGAGUUUUGUCAACUAAGUUUUGUGAUAUUGCAUUUUUUGUGAAUUUAUAAAUUUGUACCAUAACGACCCAAAAUCUUCAAUAAAAGUCAGAAAAAUUAUUUUUUUCAAAAAUAAUACAGCUUUUUAUAUUUGUUAUUUGGUUGUUGUUAUUAUACAU
This is a long non-coding RNA of Physella acuta, 975 nucleotides long. RefSeq lists it as uncharacterized. The record is from RefSeq and is a predicted model, not a curated record. Lineage: Eukaryota; Metazoa; Mollusca; Gastropoda; Physidae.